This 6761-nucleotide long non-coding RNA is filed under the name Homo sapiens (human). Its description in RNAcentral is "non-protein coding IQCH-AS1:16". Lineage: Eukaryota; Metazoa; Chordata; Mammalia; Primates; Hominidae. The record is from RNAcentral.
ACUCACCGAGGUUGACGACCUUGAGCGCCGUGAAGAAGCGGUUCUGCCGGGCCAGGUCCUGCCAGGGAGCCUUGGAGCAGUGGUACUUGAUGAAGGGGAAGCAGCCGGUGCGCAGGACGUGGUAGUUGGCGCCCUGCACCGGCCAGUUGAAGUGCGAGAGGCCGAACUGGUCGUUGCGGACGGCGCUGUAGGGCACGCAGAAGGAGGUCCAGUGCGGCAGGCGCCGCUGCAGCAGAUGCCGCGUCAGCACCUCCGAGGCGCUGGGCUUGGGGCGGGCGGCGGCGCGCGAGGCCCACGGCCUACACAGCAGCAGGCGGAGCGCGACCUCGUGGGCCCUCCUCAGGGCCUCCAUGGCCCGCCGCGCCGGGGACGCAGGCUGGUGUCCGCAGCCGCUGGCGCGCAAGCGCGCCCCCGGGCGAGCGCCGGGAAGGCCAACCGGCGCCGCGCGGGUGCCCGAGAGCCCCCGGUGUGCGGCGGCGCGUGCGCACAGCGGCCCCGUGGCCUCCCGCUGGGGGUGGAGUCCGGGGGAUGGGAAGCGUGAGCUGCGCGAGGCGGAGGGUCACCUGCGUCAAGGAGCUGGUUUUGAGUGGCCAGGUGUGACCUCACGCCGUCAUUAGUAACUCGGGCAGGGGAGGGAUUCGGGGAGGUCUCAUCAAUUUGGGCCUGAGGAAAAUUCAGGUGGAAGACAAUUAAAUAACUAACCACCUCCGCAAGGUGCAGAACUCAAACCCAAGUCUCCCUCCCACGCCCUGGGCUCCAGGGAAGCCCUUGGGUGUUGUUGUUGAAACAGGACGAGGCGUGACCCCGGGUCUGCGUUGUUUGGCGUGGGUUCUCACUAUGUUGCUUAAGCUGGUCCAGAACUCAAGCCAGUCUCUCACUUCAGCCUCUUGAGUCGUUGGGAUUACAGAAGCCACCAUGUCCAACUAGACAAGAUCUUGUUGCCCAGGCUGGUCUCAAACUCCUGCGUUCAAAUGAUACUCUCGCCUUGGCCUCCAAAAGUGUUGGGAUUGCAGACCUGAGCUACUAUGCCUGGCUGAAUUCUAUUUCUAUUGGAUUGGUUGUAAAGAAGUGCAUUGUAGCCUGCAAAGGAGCAGGGCCAGUGGGGUGGAGAGGGCAGAAGUGCUACAGAGGCCCCUGCUCUCCACUGCCCUGACUGCUACUGUGCUGGAUGCCGUGUGAACCACAGCUGCAUCUGGAGGCCUUGGGCAGCACCUAACAGGAAGCCAGAGUAGGUCCUCUGAAGGUGUUUGUUCAAUGAACUUGUCAUCCUCCUCAACUUAAAGCCUUUAGCCUGAGAACAGAAUGUAAAACCAAUGGAGGGCCCAGGAAGGCAAAUGGAAAAUGAUUAUUGAACAAGCUGAAAACUGCCAAAAAACAUAAACUCUCACUUUGAAACCAUCAUCUGACUGAAAUGGAGAACUGUAAAACUGAGAAUAAUGAUCCUAAAACAACCAAAGUAUAUGUACAAUGCGGAUGACCAGAGGAUAUCGCGAUAUCGAGAGAGGAAGGCCAGGAGGUCAUUUCGCCCUUUAGACAGAGGUCUGGACAUGCAGCACUAAGAGAGGAGCAACCGGACAUUUUAAAACACGAGUCCUGUGAAAUAGUAGUGAACUUUAACAUUAUACUUUUAGGCUUUUCCAAUUUGGAGGCACAAAUAAGUGAGAACUUGGGGAUCCACUGAGGUCUGAGGCACGGUGGUACCAGAGGAGAUGAAGGGGCUUUCAGCAUGAAGCUGGUCCCCUGUCGACAGCACGCUGAUUUUCCCGUUGGGCUCUAUCAGCAUGUCCACUGUGAGACCAUGCUUGUGAAAAUACCAGGACGGUAAAUUAGUGAAUUCCAAAGUCAGGAUUUUUGUUGGAUCUGGCACAGUCACAGGAAAGUCUGAGUUUUCUCAAGGGCAUCCCUGUCUCACCGAGGGGCACCAAGGACAGACGACCAGAAGCAAAUGGCGCAGUCACCGUCAGAGGAGAGUAAAACUCAUUCUGAAACGGUUCCAAAUGCCCAUGCCUGCUCUGUGGUUUUCAGCAAAGCGGACCUUUCCAAAAGACCUCCAACAGGGACUUCCUGGAUGUGAGAACACUAACCAAUUCUCGUUCCUCUCAUCUUUUGCUUUAUUCCUUCCUUCCAUGCUGUUAUUGCGAAAAACUGGUAGUUAAAUUCAAUUGAUUCAAAAUAUUCGGGAUCCAUAUGGCCGCCAACCCUGGAGCUGAAGCGGCGAUAGCGCCUCACUGCUGUUUUCAAGCAUUUGCCUCUCCUCCAGUCCCCAGAUGGUGGGAGUAACAUUUAAACCUCCUUUUCUCUGCCUUGUACAAUAGACCUUGGCACCAUUUCAACUGUUUACUCCGGUAAUUAACAGCUCUGAUACCACAACAAUUACAACUCCUACACUCUCACCACAAUAAUGCUAUGAAUUAGUGAGAGCUAAUGGCUGGAAGGUAGAGUGUUUCCAGACUGUGGGAUCUGUGCAUUUUUAGAAUAAAAUAAAAGGUACAAACAGCACGCUUGCAGUAGACAAUGAUUACCUAGUAAUUAGUUUACACAAAGCUUCCUAUUUAAUGGCAAAACGCUGUAAUUAACGUGUGACAGAAAAUCAAAGGGUACUUUGUAAGCAUAUUAAAAAUUAACACUGCAGGCCCAUAGCUUUAUGUACUGAUUAGAAGCAUAUUAAAUCAAUAGGACACACAAACCAACAGCUUGGGUAGCUGAUUAUUAUAGGUCCUCAGAAGGGGUACCCUGGCUUUCAUUUCACUUGGGGAGGCAAUUUUCCUUCUCCUGUCAUCUUCCUCAGGCACAGAGAAACACCUCAAACUCAACCCUGGCAGCUUCAUGAAAAUAACCACUGAACUGGAAGAAAACAUUCUAAGUCAUUCUCAGAGAUGAAGACAAAUAUGUAAAUGAUUAAGACUUUCCAAUGAUUGUGGUGACGUGCUGCUACACUAAUUAGAAAAUACACCAACUGGAACCAGAAAAUAAAGCCACUGGGUUGCAAUCUUCCGGUCAGAAUAAUCUCUACUUUGUCAAGCCUCUUUAUUCAACUCAUAGAAAGUUCAAAUAAAUGGAACUGUUUUAUAUUUCUAAAUGAUAAGAAAGCAGGCUGCUAUGAAGACUUAUUCUUUCCAAGGCACUGUCUGGGUAAAGCAUAGGCUGGGAACAACUGGAUCAACCAACAUUCUGUAUCUUCAACAGCCACAACCCCAUAUAAUGAUGGCUGAUGGACAUAGACAGCAAUAUCCUGGAAGCCUACCAGAGCCUAAAGAACCUUCUGAAUCACCAAAGAAAGAUUAAGUUGUAUGUACUUGUUCAAUGUUACCUGUAUUUUGUUAUAAUACAAUUUUAUGGUAAUAAUAACAACAAUAAUAAUAGGUAGCAUUUCUUAAAGUCUUAUUAUGUGCUAAGCACACUGCUAGCCAAUUCAUAGAAUUAUCUCAUUUACUUGUCACCACUUCCCCAUGAGACAGGUACUAAUCUCUCUUUACAGAUAGAGAAAGGGAGACUUGGAGAGCUGAAGUAAUUUGCCUAUAGUUAUCCCCCAGGGAGCAUGGGAGUCUAACCUAGGUGUCCCUGGCUAUGGAACCCCAGGAAGCCAAACUACCUCUUAGUUACCCUGAAUGACUAGCCUGUUCCAACACUCAUUCUGCUUAAAAGGCAGUUUACUAUGUCAACCUGGAAUAGGAGACUAAAAAAAUUAAAACAAAAACAAAAUAUUUGGUUGCUUAUUUUUUUAAAAAACAGGGUGUUUCUGCUUUUAGAGAUAGGAGUCUUGUUCUGUCACCCAGGCUGGAGAGUGGUGGUGCAGUCAUGACUCAUUGCAGCCUCAAACUCCUGGGCUCGAGUGAUCCUCUUUCUUCAGGCUCCUAAGUAGCUGGAACUACAGGCACACACCUAAUUUUUAAAUUUUUUGUAGAGAUAGGGUCUCACUAUAUUGCCCAGGCUGGUCUUGAACUCCUGGCCUCAAGCCAACUCCCACCUCAGCCUUCCAAAGUGUUGGGAUUACAAAAUAUUACAGGAGUGAUCGACUGCACUGGGCUAAAAACAAGGGUUUUAAAUGCUUACCAUAUUUUUAAUGCUACAUCUGAUUGUGAAGGUGGGCUACUCAAAGCUUUUUGGGAAUUUACAGGCUCACUAAAAUGAUCACGAUAGUGUAUUAAAUUGAGAAAGGCAUUGAAAAUCUGUCAUUCCCAUGAACAACCAAAGGGUGAUGUCUAAAAUUCUCUCUCAUCACCCAUGCACAUAACCAGGUAUAUGAGGCAGUUGGGUUGCAAGAGCUGAAUCCUAGAAACUCCUAGGCAGGGCUCCUCCUCUCCAGCUCUGAGGUGUGUGUAUUGAUGGCCCCCUACACCUCCCAGUUUGCUGCCUUGUGGGAAAAGGAGACCAGCUCUUCUGUUAUCUAGGAAAGGGAAGAAAUUUGAGAGCAGUGGCCUCUGUGUUCCAGGAAUAUUUGCGUUUCCCACAAAUCUCUGGAAAGCAGAAAGCUUGCCACAAGGGCAGCACACGGUAUGAGUCACAAAGGCAAGGACCUGAGGGAGAACACUUCCCAGGACUUUCAAAUAAGGUCUUUCCUAAAUGUACUUGGCUCAGUGUGGCAAAAGCACUGGGCUAGCAGCAGUCAGAUGUGGGUUCAAAGCAAGGCACAAUCAUUUAUUAGCUAUAAAUUUGGGCAAGUCACUUCUUGAGAAUAAGUUUCUUCAUCUGUAAACAGAAGUAAUACCUUCCUUAUAUCUUAAAUUGGUGUGGAAGUAAAUGAGUAAAAACCUCAGGGUUUUUCUGAGUUUAAAUGAGACAAUUCAUGUAACGUGCUUAGCACAAUACCUGGUACCCAGUAGGUACUCUGCAGUAUUUAUUGAUGAUGAUGAUGAUGAUGAUGAUGAUGAUGAUGAUGACAAAGAAAUACAAGGAAAUGUCAACACCUUAACAGUGCAUUCAUAGAUCUACAAAAUGCUUAAUCUCAGUGUUCUGGCAACCACUAAAUACAUAAAGAUAAUCUAAGACAUCAAGAUUUCAACAUAUAAAAAUAAAUAUAAAAACAAGUGAACAAUAAUCAUUUAUAUGUAGUUUCAUGACUGGAAAAAAUAAUAACCUAGAUUUUUUCUUAACCUAGAAAAUCUAGAUUAAAAAAUAAAGAUCUUGCAUUUUUGAUAUAAAACACAAAUAAUAAGGACAUGAAAAAAGAAUAUCCCUUGCUAGUAAUCAAAUAAUAGCAAUGAGAAGCUGGAUUCUUAUAUCUAAAAUAAAAGUGCAAAUAGUUCAUAAUAUCCAUUGGUGGUAAGGUUGUGGUAAAACUAGUAUUCUUAUUCUCUGCCAGUUGCUUUGGAAAUUGGUACUAUCUUUUUAGGAAUAUGGCAAUAUGUAACAAAAGCCAUAAAAUAUUCUACUCCUGGGUCUUUCUCCUCGGGAAGUAACUCAACAGAAGCAAAAAGAGGUGUAUACAAAAACCAAAUAUAAAAACAAACAAAUCUUUCCUCCCUCUUUCCUCCCACUGCCAAAAAAUGAAAGCUGGGAAUAGCCUAAAUUUCCAACUUAGUUGAAUUGUUCAAUAUAUUAGAGUUCAUCAAUAUGAGAGAAUAUUAUGCAUCUAAUAAUUGUGACGACUAUGUAUAAACAUGGAAAAUAUUUAAGAUCUGAUGUUUAACUAGCAUAUACACUAUUAUUGUAGCUAUGAGAAAGAAAUACUGCAUAUUUAGAAAUUAAUAUACAAAAAUGAAAACAACUAUGUUUGGGGACAGUGAUUAUGUACUUUUAAAUUUUUUUUAAUCUUGUUAUCUUUAAACUUUUCUAAAAAUGAUGUGAUUACAAGCAAUGGCUCUUUGGGAUCACCUAAUAAAUACCUACUAAAUUCUAGACGGGACAACGAGCUCUGCCAUCCUGCAAUGGCUCCUGUGACCUAGUUCCAGGGCCAUUCUGAAUGGACAGAGGUCUUCACAAUGGAGGUGGAGAUGCAGGGAGCUCUAUGGCAUGAAAUGGUUAAUGAUUCUCUUUUGUAAUUGUGUUUUCUGUUUGCUGCCUUAGUUCUAAAAGGAGGCAAAACAACUGUGGUUUAUUCUACCUUUUCCAGGCAUAGUUCUUCUCCUACCUUUGUGAUCCCCAAAUUAAUAUCAAAUGUCUAAUUAGUUUUUUUCUCCAUUGGUGAUCCCCAAAUUAAUAUCAAAUGUCAGACAAAGUAAAUCAAAGUACAAAUAAAGGUAAAACUGCUCUUGCAAAGGGCUAAAAUAGCAAUGUUUACUAGAAGCAUUCAAGAGCCAGUUCAAUUUCCUAUUUCUCAUUAAGUGGUAAAAUAGUAAUGCCAAGACCACAUCCCAGAAUCUCCAGGGUAACAGAGGCCCAACGAAGGGCUGCAGAGAAACUUGAAAGUAAACUGGCUUAGUUCUUUACACACAGAAAUUGUUCUACAAAGAUCUCUUGCAAAGCAGUGUCACCAGUAGCAUCACUGCCACUAAGCCAAUGUCCCAGGAAUUGAGGAAAGGAAGACACCCUUAAAGAAAAAAAUGGAAAAAAGCCACAAGGACUGGUACCACAGUAAAUGUCUGCCUGGGUCUCCCUAAACUGUCUUAGGUGAGCUUACCCAGGAAUGUUUCUCCCCUACAUGUUUGCCUUCCUUUGUUUAAGCCUUUAUUCCUCCUAAAUGAAAAUAAAUACCCCCGACUGGGGAACGUGGAGUUUGGAGUGUGUGCAAGAGUGUGGAUUCAUUAAAACUUAACGAGCAGAGUACUUAAGUGAAUGAGUUUACUGGAACUUGUUGGGGGAAGUAGGUUUUGUUAGCUGGU